This 447-nucleotide ribosomal RNA is filed under the name uncultured bacterium. Its description in RNAcentral is "bacterial SSU rRNA". It matches the Rfam family "Bacterial small subunit ribosomal RNA", at positions 355 to 825 of the family's 1533-position model. The record is from RNAcentral.
UCGGGAAUUUUGGGCAAUGGGCGAAAGCCUGAUCCAGCCAUGCCGCGUGAGUGACGAAGGCCUUAGGGUUGUAAAACUCUUUCGUCGGGGACGAUAAUGACGGUACCCGAAGAAGAAGCUCCGGCUAACUUCGUGCCAGCAGCCGUGGUAAUACGAAGGGAGCUAGCGUUGUUCGGAAUCACUGGGCGUAAAGCGCACGUAGGCGGAUAGUUAAGUCAGGGGUGAAAUCCUGGGGCUCAACCCCAGAACUGCCUUUGAUACUGGCUGUCUCGAGGCCGAGAGAGGUUGGUGGAAUUCCUAGUGUAGAGGUGAAAUUCGUAGAUAUUAGGAAGAACACCAGUGGCGAAGGCGGCCAACUGGCUCGAUACUGACGCCGAGGUGCGAAAGCGUGGGGAGCAAACAGGAUUAGAUACCCCCGUAGUCCCUGAGCGGGCUGGCAAGGCGCAU